AGGCGCCCAAUAGGUGGGGCUGGAGAAUGGGGGAUCCAGUAAGGUACACUGUUUGUGAAGCUGGCACAAAAACAGAAUGGAGGAAAAAGAAAAGAGGGAAAGUCUACACAGGAGCCGGCUGCAUUUUCUGCACCUUGGUGAGUGAACAGCGAUUAUGGGACAAGAAAUGAGCCAACAUGAGAUCUUUAUUGAAAGUUUAGGAAAGGCUCUAAAGGUGCGAGGAGUAAAGGUUAAAAUUAAACAAUUGUGUCCAUAUUUUGAUUAUAUAAAGACUAAAAUU
This is a regulatory RNA element of Cavia porcellus (domestic guinea pig), 280 nucleotides long. It matches the Rfam family "Mason-Pfizer monkey virus packaging signal". From Rfam's summary of the family: The packaging signal is located in the 5' UTR and is required for specific RNA encapsidation. The record is from Rfam. Lineage: Eukaryota; Metazoa; Chordata; Mammalia; Rodentia; Caviidae.